Molecule: long non-coding RNA, 2103 nt
Organism: Amphiprion ocellaris (clown anemonefish)
Lineage: Eukaryota; Metazoa; Chordata; Actinopteri; Pomacentridae
Exons: 3
Source: RefSeq, a predicted model, not a curated record
GUUCCCUCUAAGCUGCGCGCGUGCGCAAUUGCGCACUGCUGACACGGUCUCCGCGCACAGAAAAUCUGCGCUGUGCACAAAAAAAAAAAAAUCCAACCUAAAUUGUAAAUAAAAUAAACACGUAACAAUUCAUUCUGUGCUAUUUUUCAGUGUGAGUCAGUGAGUGACCGGUGACUGGCUGCUGCAGCCAAUGAUGCGAUUCACAUACGUAUUUACCAUAGACUGUAUAUAAUGGUAUUUACGCAGCUAAUCAACGUCACGCGUCCUUAUGUGCAGCCACCGUUGUUGUCAUAGAUAUGAAUGAGUAGAUAGGACACGCCCCUUUGAGCUGCGUGCUACUGCGAGGCUAAGCUAGUGGGGGCAAAGUUUCAGUGCAUUCCGUUGAUGUAGACGGCGUGAAAACGGAAACAACAAGUAUGCCGGCUCACUGUGCUGCAUACAAUUACACACUACGUCGUACGAUUGAGACAAGGAAACUUGGAAUGACUUUUCAUAGGUUUCCCAGAGACUAUGGGUUGAGGAGGAACUGGAAGUUUGUCGGCUGAGACCUGGUGUCAUUCCAUCAGUGUUUAACUUCCCGGCUCAUCUUGGAAGAGUACGUGCCAGAAAGACCACGACCAAGCAGCCUUGAGAUCUUAGGCAGCGUCUCCCUCAGUUCAAAGGUCCCUCUCUAUCUCCCCACACAUCCACCAACCACUGGAACACAUCUCCAGAGUUCUGCUGGGCUAGCUCAGCUUCCCCUCAGAAGAAGUGCUGCCACCUGCCAGAUGAAGGAGCCUUUUGAGAGGCAGCUGGCAUCGUGAUUGGACUGUACUUUGGUCUGUUCCAAUCCAGCUUCAGCUCCAGAGACGGCAGGCGGGACGAGUCAACGGAGGCCGGAUGGAUGAAGGCAUGCAGCUGAGUACAAUCCAGAAAACAACAGAGAAGGAGUGAAGCAGCCAGAACAAGCAGAGUAGCAUCGUAUGUCUCUUAGAAAACAUCAUAGUAUAGCCUUUGGUAUGAAAAAACGCCAUCAUAUACACAGAAUAUCUACUACAAAUAACAAGUCAAAGGAAAGAGACAUACAUUGUAGAAUUGUAGUAAUUGUGGGCUGACUGAUUUACUGAUUAUCAGUAAUUUAUUUUUUACUGAUUUAUGGUAAUAAAUAAAUUUAAAAAUGGUGCUACUUUGGCUCUGAACCUUUAUCUACCUGUGGUCGCGCUGUCUUCUGGAGUGAUUUGAUUGGUUAUACGUCACAAAUAAAACUCCUUUAACUUAACAUCUGUAAACAAAACAAAAACGUAUCAACAAAGUUUUCUGUUAGAGUUUGUGUUCUUCAAAGUUUAACUCCAAGAUUUUAAAUACUUUCAUUUACUGCAAGUGAGUAUCUGCUCCAAAUGUCUCACUAAUAAUCAUUAUCAGCCUUAAAAACCCACAAAACACCCCUCUAUACUCGACCACACUUAGUACAGUCCGGUUCCCCCUUCUAUAAAUCUGCUUGGAAUCUUCCACUUCCUGUUUGUCAAAGUGGCCUUCUACCUGGACAGGUUUUGUUGGAGCUCAUGCAACAAACAUUUUGGGUAACUGCACUUUAAUAUGGAUGGAUGACACUGAAUUAGAGUCUGUUUUAAUGAGACUGAGUUAAGAUGUGUAGCUCUGUCAUUAAAUAGUAAAUUAUUUCUCAGCAUUCACAGAGAAAAGUCUGAAAUGUUUGCUAGGUUAGCGUCCCACAUGUUCUUUGGCUCAGCUAAAGCUAACUCUCUCCAACUUCUGGAUCUCUUGAGUUGCUUAUUGUUAAAAUAUCUUGCUAGAGGUGCUGAAGCUCAGAAAGUCUGAGAUGUUUGUUCAGAAUAAGCUCAUUCUCAAGUCUUAUCUGAACUGUCCUCUUUUGUUUGAACUUUCCCUAAACUUAGGAGUUAAUGACAGAGCAGCACAUCCAGACUCAGUCUCAUUUAUGUAGAGAUUAAACUUCAGUGUCAUUCAUUGAUGUUAAAGUGCAGUUUUUCAAAUGUUUGUUGCACAUGCUCCUGACCAAACCAGUCCAGGUGGAAGACGAUGUGAAGAGAAAGCUCCAGAGGAUGAAUAUCACACAUUUAUGUUGGAAAUAAAUGUCCUUUAAUUAGA